UUGCCUGUUUAUCAAAAACAUGUCUGUAUGGGGAUUUAUAAAGUCUGGCCUGCCCACUGGGAUAAAACUAAAGGGCCGCGGUAUUCUAACCGUGCGAAGGUAGCAUAGUCAUUAGUCUUUUAAUUGGGGGCUUGUAUGAAGGGUUGAACAAGAGGCAAACUGUCUCGGAAACAAAGUUUGAAAUUAACUUUUAAGUGAAAAGGCUUGAAUAUUUUAGAGGGGCGAUAAGACCCUAUAAAGCUUGAUAAUUUUAUAUGUAAAUAAAUAAGUUGUUAGUGUUAUAUUGUUUACUUACAAAAUUAUUUCGUUGGGGCGACGAUAAUAUAAUUUGUAACUGUUUGAGGUUUAGAUCCAAAUAUAUUUGUGUUUAAGUGAUCCAUUAAUUGUUGAUUAAAAAUUUAAGUUACUUUAGGGAUAACAGCGUUAUUUAUUUUGAGAGUUCAUAUCGAUAAAAAAGUUUGCGACCUCGAUGUUGAAUUAAAAUUUUUCCGUGGUGUAGAAGCUAUGGGGCGAGGGCCUACCGCCGCGCCGGUGGCGCU
Molecule: ribosomal RNA, 539 nt
Filed under: Metanephrops mozambicus
Lineage: Eukaryota; Metazoa; Arthropoda; Malacostraca; Decapoda; Nephropidae
Description: partial 16S ribosomal RNA
Rfam family: Bacterial large subunit ribosomal RNA
Source: RNAcentral